GAUGAGCGCUGGCGGCGUGCCUAAUACAUGCAAGUCGAGCGAACGGACGAGAAGCUUGCUUCUCUGAUGUUAGCGGCGGACGGGUGAGUAACACGUGGAUAACCUACCUAUAAGACUGGGAUAACUUCGGGAAACCGUAGCUAAUACCGGAUAAUAUUUUGAACCGCAUGGUUCAAAAGUGAAAGACGGUCUUGCUGUCACUUAUAGAUGGAUCCGCGCUGCAUUAGCUAGUUGGUAAGGUAACGGCUUACCAAGGCAACGAUGCAUAGCCGACCUGAGAGGGUGAUCGGCCACCCUGGAACUGGGACACGGUCCAGACUCCUACGGGAGGCAGCAGUAGGGAAUCUUCCGCAAUGGGCGAAAGCCUGACGGAGCAACGCCGCGUGAGUGAUGAAGGUCUUCGGAUCGUAAAACUCUGUUAUUAGGGAAGAACAUAUGUGUAAGUAACUGUGCACAUCUUGACGGUACCUAAUCAGAAAGCCACGGCUAACUACGUG
RNAcentral lists this ribosomal RNA (497 nucleotides) under uncultured bacterium. RNAcentral's name for it is "partial 16S ribosomal RNA". It matches the Rfam family "Bacterial small subunit ribosomal RNA", at positions 28 to 507 of the family's 1533-position model. The record is from RNAcentral.